RNAcentral lists this ribosomal RNA (253 nucleotides) under uncultured bacterium. Its description in RNAcentral is "partial 16S ribosomal RNA". It matches the Rfam family "Bacterial small subunit ribosomal RNA", at positions 524 to 776 of the family's 1533-position model. The record is from RNAcentral.
UACGUAGGGGGCAAGCGUUGUCCGGAAUCAUUGGGCGUAAAGAGCGCGUAGGCGGCCCGAUAAGUCCGCUGUGAAAGUCGGGGGCUCAACCCUCGAAUGCCGGUGGAUACUGUCGGGCUAGAGUGCGGAAGAGGCGAGUGGAAUUCCUGGUGUAGCGGUGAAAUGCGCAGAUAUCAGGAGGAACACCGAUUGCGAAGGCAGCUCGCUGGGACGUAACUGACGCUGAGACGCGAAAGCGUGGGGAGCAAACAGG